This 413-nucleotide unclassified non-coding RNA is filed under the name soil metagenome. Its description in RNAcentral is "partial contains 5.8S ribosomal RNA, internal transcribed spacer 2, and large subunit ribosomal RNA". The stretch from base 1 to 120 matches the Rfam family "5.8S ribosomal RNA", at positions 35 to 154 of the family's 154-position model. The record is from RNAcentral.
GAUGAAGAACGCAGCGAAAUGCGAUAAGUAAUGUGAAUUGCAGAAUUCAGUGAAUCAUCGAAUCUUUGAACGCACCUUGCGCUCUUUGGUAUUCCGAAGAGCAUGCCUGUUUGAGUGUCAUGAAAAUAUCAACCUUGACUUGGGUUUUGUGCUCUAGUCUCGGCUUGGAAUUGGGUGCUUGCCGCUUUUACGAGCGGCUCACCUUAAAUGUAUUAGCUGGAUCUGUCUUUGAGACUUGGUUUGACUUGGCGUAAUAAGUAUUUCGCUAAGGACAUUCUUCGGAGUGGCCUCGUUUCUAGGACGCUUGUCCGCUUUCCAAUACAAGUUCCACCUCGUGGACAUGACUUUUUAUUAUCUGGCCUCAAAUCAGGUAGGACUACCCGCUGAACUUAAGCAUAUCAAUAAGCGGAGGA